Molecule: ribosomal RNA, 780 nt
Filed under: uncultured archaeon
Lineage: Archaea
Description: bacterial SSU rRNA
Rfam family: Archaeal small subunit ribosomal RNA
Source: RNAcentral
UGGGCCUAAAACGUCUGUAGCUCGCUCAAAAAGUCCUUGGUGAAAUCAAAGGGCUUAACCUUUUGAAUUGCCAAGGAAACUCUUGGGCUAGAGGCCGGAAGAGGUCAGGGGAAUUUCAGGGGUAGCGGUGAAAUGUUAUGAUCCUUGAAAGACCUCCAGUAGCGAAGGCGCCUGACCAGGACGGUCCUGACAGUGAGGGACGAAAGCUGGGGGAGCGACCCGGAUUAGAUACCCGGUUAGUCCCAGCCGUAAACGAUGUGGACUUGGUGUCCUAGCACCUAAUGAGGCGCGGGGGUGCCGUAGGGAAGCUGUUAAGUCCACUGCCAGGGAAGUACGCCCGCAAGGGUGAAACUUAAUGGAAUUGGCGGGAGCUCACUACAAGGGGUGGAUGCUGCGGUUCAAUUGGAUACAACCCCAGAUAAUCUUACCAGGGCUGACAGCAGGAUGAUGGACAGUCUGAAGGGCUUUCCUGACGCGCUGAGAGGUGUUGUAUGGUCAUCGUCAGCUCGUACUAUGAAGCGUCCUGUUAACUCAGGCAACGGGCGAGACCCACAUCCAUAGUUGCCAUCUUCCAGUUUGGGGGAGCACUCUAUGGAAACUGCAGUGGUAACACUGAGGAAGGGGUGGGCAACGGUAGAUCUGUAUGGCCCGAAUGCCCUGGGCAACACGCGGCAUACAAUGGCUAAGACAAUGAGUUCCGAGCCCGAAAGGGCAAGGUAAUCCCCUAAACUUAGCCUUAGUUCGGAUUGAGGGUUGUAACUCACCCUCAUGAAAUUGGAA